This 546-nucleotide long non-coding RNA is filed under the name Urocitellus parryii (Arctic ground squirrel). RNAcentral describes it as "lncRNA (ENSUPAG00010022048.1)". Lineage: Eukaryota; Metazoa; Chordata; Mammalia; Rodentia; Sciuridae. The record is from RNAcentral.
GUUUUAUUGUCCACCAUUGUUUCUUUUGCUCUGGCCUCUUAAGUUACAGGGCCUCUAAUCUGCACACGUGUUCACUAACUGUAGGCUGACUAUAACUUGGUUUGUUUUGAUUGCAGAGUGGCCAGCUAUGGACUUAAGGCAGAUAUGACCCCAGGGAUGCAUGGUCACCAGACACUGGAUCUUGCAAGACUGCCAUUAGAGCCUCACUUUUGUACCUCCUGUCUCUGAGUCCAUUCUUUGGCAUUGGGUGGCAGAUACUUUAACCUGUAUGAGAAUGAGAAACCUGUCUUCAUCAGGACCUCAGACAUCUGACAACUUUGUGCACACCAAGACAAGGCUGGGGAUGUCGCUCAAUGGCCCCUGGGUUCACUCCCUGGAACACCCCGACCCACCCUUAAAAAAAUUAAAAAAUUAGGUUGUAGCCUAGACAUGCACAGUUUCAGCUACUCAGGAUACUGAGUCAAGAGGAUUACAAAUUCAAGGUCAGUCUGGGCAACUUAGUGAGACUGCCUCAAAAAAAAUAAAAAGGGCUGAGGAUAUAGCUCA